GACGGAGGGUGCUAGCGUUGUUCGGAUUUACUGGGCGUAAAGGGCGCGUAGGCGGCCAGAUCAGUCGGGUGUGAAAGCCCGGGGCUCAACCCCGGAACGGCACCCGAGACGGUUUGGCUGGAGACCGGGAGAGGAGGGUGGAAUAGCCAGUGUAGAGGUGAAAUUCGUAGAUAUUGGCUGGAACACCGGUGGCGAAAGCGGCUCACUGGCCCGAUACUGACGCUGAGGUGCGAAAGCGUGGGGAGCGAUCCGG
RNAcentral lists this ribosomal RNA (253 nucleotides) under uncultured bacterium. RNAcentral's name for it is "partial 16S ribosomal RNA". It matches the Rfam family "Bacterial small subunit ribosomal RNA", at positions 524 to 776 of the family's 1533-position model. The record is from RNAcentral.